UGCACUCGAUCGCGCUCAACCUUGUAGCAAUACAGGGGGCGGGCGCGUGGCGAACGGGUGCGUAACACGUGGAUAACCUUCCUUUAGGUGGGGAAUAACCCCGCGAAAGCGGGGCUAAUACCGCAUAACAUGACGAUGGCACAUGCUGUUGUCUUCAAAGCCGCAAGGCGCCAGAAGAGGGAUCCGCGGCCGAUUAGCUAGUUGGCGAGGUAAUGGCUCACCAAGGCAAUGAUCGGUAGCCGGUCUGAGAGGAUGAUCGGCCACACUGGAACUGAGACACGGUCCAGACUCCUACGGGAGGCAGCAGUGGGGAAUCUUGCGCAAUGGGCGAAAGCCUGACGCAGCAACGCCGCGUGGGGGAUGAAGCUUCUCGGAGUGUAAACCCCUUUCGACCCGGACGAAUGCCCGCAAGGGUUUGACGGUACGGGUAUAAGAAGCCCCGGCUAACUACGUGCCAGCAGCCGCGGUAAAACGUAGGGGGCCAGCGUUGCUCGGAAUUACUGGGCGUAAAGGGUCCGUAGGCGGUGUGGCAAGUCGGAAGUGAAAUCUCUGGGCUUAACCCAGAGGCUGCUUCCGAAACUGCUGUGCUAGAGUGCGAGAGAGGCGAGUGGAAUUGCGGGUGUAGCGGUGAAAUGCGUAGAUAUCCGCAGGAACAUCCGAGGCGAAAGCGGCUCGCUGGAUCGCAACUGACGCUGAGGGACGAAAGCUAGGGGAGCAAACAGGAUUAGAUACCCUGGUAGUCCUAGCCCUAAACCAUCAGGACUUGGGGUUUGCCCUGUACGGGGCAAGUCCCGUAGCUAACGCGUUAAGUCCUGCGCCUGGGGAGUACGGUCGCAAGGCUGAAACUCAAAAG
Molecule: ribosomal RNA, 853 nt
Filed under: uncultured soil bacterium
Lineage: Bacteria
Description: bacterial SSU rRNA
Rfam family: Bacterial small subunit ribosomal RNA
Source: RNAcentral